Molecule: long non-coding RNA, 1549 nt
Filed under: Nicotiana tabacum (common tobacco)
Lineage: Eukaryota; Viridiplantae; Streptophyta; Magnoliopsida; Solanales; Solanaceae
Description: long non-coding RNA (NTAB_LNC002677)
Source: RNAcentral
GGAAGUGGAGGGUGCGUGCUUACCACUAGAGCAACCCACUAGAACGAUAGGAACCAGUUUUUAAAAAUAACAAUUAAACCUAAUUUGAGAAUUCUUUUGAGAAUUCUUUCUCCCUAAAGCAUGACUCUCAAUCUACAAAAAAACAAAAAACAAAUUUGAGGUCAAAAAAUGAAAAUCAUAUGACUUAAAAGGUAAAGCAUCUAAAAGUAAUGAUGGAAAGGAGACAAUCGAAUGUGGAGAAGAUAUGGUAUUGUUUUGGAUGGGUAUCAAUAUCAUACUUCAAGUUCAAGAUUCCGUAAUACAUCUUAAUUAUCUUCCUUCUAUUUUAUGGUGUAAAAGCAGACCAAAUACCUUUCAUCUCCACCUUAUUAAUCAAAUAACAACUGCUUCCACUUUCAGAAUUUAAUCGUUGUAUUAAACCCGGACAAGUUAACAAUAAGAACAAUAAUGUAUUCAUUUUCAUAGUUUAAAUGAAAUUAAAUUGGGCAAUAAUAAAGAGAUCGAAAGAGUGACUUUGUGCAUUGCUCUUACUGAAGUUGAAGCUAAAUUUUCUUAGAUGAUAAAAGAAUAAAGUAUUGAUAAUUGUACAAAAAAAUAUUCAUUUGUUAAAAGUUCACAUAAUCUUUACCAAUUUAAAAUAGAAGAGAAUUGAUUCAGGCAAAGCUAAAGUAAGUGUCAGCAAACUUAAAUAAGCAAAAACAAAAUAACCAGUAGCUUGCCAAAUUUGAAUCUAAGUUGAAUGCACUAACAAUGUAAUAAAUAUUUAUACACAGAUCUUACCCCUACCUUGUGAGGAUGGAGAAACUGUUUCCAAUAGACCUCUGGCUCAGGAAAACAUAAGCACCACAUUAAUGAAUAUAUAGAUAAGAAGGGACAAUACCAAAAAACCAUAUAAAAGUAUAAUAAAAACAACAAGAGAGUAAGGUGACAAACAAUGAAAGAAAACAACGGUUAGCCAUAAAAACCUAUUACCAACAGAAAGUGAGACUGCGUGCCAAUACUACUGUUAUGAACACUCUAGACUACCUACUCUACUACCCUAAUCCUCGACCUUCAUAUCUUCUUAUCAAUGGUCAUGUCCUCGGUCAGCUUAAGCUGUGUCAUGUCUUGCUUAAUCACCUUUCUCCCCUUCUUCUUUGGUCUACCUUUACCUUUCCGUAGGCCCUCCAAUGUCAAUCUCUCACACCUCCUCACCGGUGCGUCUGUGCCUUGCUAUCCCAGUUUUAGGGUUAAACAAAAGAAAACUAGGUUAAUUACACGAGUUCAAAUCUGAUGAUACCUCUAUGAGUCUAAGCUCUAAAGAACAUCUUAACACGUCAAUCGGGUCAAAUUAUGACCAUAAAAGUAAAGCAGAGAAGAUAGAAAAGUUUCUCACUAGAAGCAGUAGAAGGAAAAAGAAUACUUGCUUUUAAAGACUGAAUUGAGUCAAGACUCUUGCUAUUCAUACCAAGGCCAAGGAUUACUUGAAUUGGAGAUAAAAAUGCAUAAAUUUACUGCCAACAGUGGCGGUGGAAUAAUUGGGAUUCCUUCACUUGAAGUAGAAUUUUGG